This 771-nucleotide long non-coding RNA is filed under the name Helianthus annuus (common sunflower). Lineage: Eukaryota; Viridiplantae; Streptophyta; Magnoliopsida; Asterales; Asteraceae. The record is from RNAcentral.
CCCACCCCACUCCUCUUCAACUCUCUGUUUUCUGUCAACCCCCACCCAACUCCGACCACCUCAACCCCCAUUGCUGCAACUCCGACCACCUCAACCCCCAUCCCCACCCACUUCUCUCUCUAUACUCUCUCUCCUCAUCCAUGGCUACCACGGUGACCUUCUCUGGCAUCCAUGGCUAUCACUGCGACCUUCUCCGGCGUCCGCAUCUCAUCCAUCUGCACCAUUAGAUCAUCAUCAGAAUCAUUCGCUCAACCGUCUGUUUCCGUCAAUUCCUUCACUAACCUAGACAAAUUGUUGUUCGCUCGCUGAAAUUAAAGAGUAGAAGUAGUGAGGUUCUUCUGCGCAAUCGCAUCUCUGAUAGGUUCUUUGGUGUGAUGCUUCAUCCAAUGGAAGAAUCUGAACCAGCAACUUCAGAUUUAGCCGCCGGCGAAAGGGUACAUGUAGGGGUCAUUGCCAGAAAAAACAUGAAAGAUGGUUAAGAGAGAAAGGGGUGGCGGUAGUCAGUUGGUUCUAGCGGCGGUGGUCGGAUUGCCGGAAAAAAAAACGUGAAGGAAGGUUGAGAGAGAAAGGAAAGAGUGGUUGUUGCAGAUAUGGUGGUUGUGGGUGGUUGGAUUAUGGUUUUAGUGGCAGUGACCGGUUAGUGGUGGUGGUGGAGAAGAUGGGAUGAUGGAGUUGCAGGGGAAGAAGAUGGGAUGAUAGGAUGAUAAAUCUAUUUAAUAGGUAAAUUAUUUUGUUUUUUAGUAAGGGUAUUUUUGUCAUUUCAUACUCUCU